RNAcentral lists this ribosomal RNA (506 nucleotides) under Gomphoides perdita. RNAcentral describes it as "partial 16S ribosomal RNA". It matches the Rfam family "Bacterial large subunit ribosomal RNA", at positions 1830 to 2597 of the family's 2925-position model. Lineage: Eukaryota; Metazoa; Arthropoda; Insecta; Odonata; Gomphidae. The record is from RNAcentral.
GUCUUCUUGUUAAGAAUAGGAAGUCUGACCUGCCCGGUGAUUUAAUUUAACGGCCGCGGUAUUUUUGACCGUGCAAAGGUAGCAUAAUCAUUAGUCUUUUAAUAGGAGGCUGGUAUGAAGGGUUUGACGAAGUGUUAACUGUCUCAGUUAAUUUAAUAUUAAAAUUUAACUUUUUAGUCAAAAGGCUAAAAUAUAAUUGAAAGACGAGAAGACCCUAUAGAGUUUAAUAAUUUAUUUGUAAUUUAUUAUAAUAAUUUUUAUUUUAUAAAUUAAUUAUUUUGUUGGGGUGACAAAAAUAUAAAUGUAACUUUUUUAUUUAUUUAUCAUUGAUUUAUGUUUAUUAGAUCCAAUCUUAUUGAUUGUUAGAAUAAGUUACCUUAGGGAUAACAGCGUAAUCUUUCCUUGGAGUUCAUAUUUGCGGAAAGGCUUGCGACCUCGAUGUUGGAUUAAGAUUAUAAUCAGGUGCAGUAGCUUGAUAUAUAGGUCUGUUCGACCUUUAAACUCUU